Molecule: transfer RNA, 90 nt
Filed under: Halorhodospira neutriphila
Lineage: Bacteria; Pseudomonadati; Pseudomonadota; Gammaproteobacteria; Chromatiales; Ectothiorhodospiraceae
Description: tRNA-Ser
Rfam family: tRNA
About the family: Transfer RNA (tRNA) molecules are approximately 80 nucleotides in length. Their secondary structure includes four short double-helical elements and three loops (D, anti-codon, and T loops). Further hydrogen bonds mediate the characteristic L-shaped molecular structure. tRNAs have two regions of fundamental functional importance: the anti-codon, which is responsible for specific mRNA codon recognition, and the 3' end, to which the tRNAs corresponding amino acid is attached (by aminoacyl-tRNA synthetases). tRNAs cope with the degeneracy of the genetic code in two manners: having more than one tRNA (with a specific anti-codon) for a particular amino acid; and 'wobble' base-pairing, i.e. permitting non-standard base-pairing at the 3rd anti-codon position.
Source: RNAcentral
GGAAGGGUGGCCGAGUGGUCGAAGGCGGCUGACUCGAAAUCAGCUGGGGGAGCAAUCCCCCCGGGGGUUCGAAUCCCUCCCCUUCCGCCA